CAUCAAAAGCAUUACAGCAUCUACCAAUCUGCCAAUCACGGGAAUAUGAUGAACAACGUUUGGAAAACUGCAGUUCUCCUGGCUACGACCGUAGCAGUUGCACACUGCUUGACCUGCCUCAGAUGCCCCGUCAGCACAGGGGACCUAUGUAAUUUGGCAGAAGACGUCGAAUGUCCUAAUCCAACUGACCAAUGCUUCCGUGGAUCUGUCGCUUUUGGUCCUGACUCGGACACCUGCUUACUCGUCACCGGCUGCCUGCCAGAGAGCCUGUGCGGGCAAGCGCUGACUAGUGAGCAACUCGCAGAUGGGCAGCUCGGAGUUGAGUUCUCGGCCGAAUUAGAGUGUUGCAACACCGACCGAUGCAACGGUGCCACGUCCGUCAAGCUCUCCUUCGCAAUGGCCAUCUCUGCCAUCAUUUUUUCACUCUGGUUCAUGUAGGACCUGGGAGUAAUUUGAUGAGUUUUUACAGAAGAAACCAAAUCUUGCUUCAUUGCACUUUUGGCCUGGUAUGAGGGAGAAAAUCAAGCAGUGGUUCUGGUGAGUCGGGACCAAAAUUUAACACGUAUUUGUAUUCUGAUUUAUUCAAGACAGGAAUGACGCGUACAAAGUACCCACAUAAAACAUACAAGAAUAGGUAAGCUUUAGAAAAUGUUACUGGCUCAUGCUAUAGUCACUAGCUACUCUGUAUACAAAUACAGUAUAGCUCAGCUUUUGGCCAAGCGGGCAUCAUAGCUAGCCAUAUGCUUUUGGCACUAUGUCAAACAAACAAAUUUGAAAAAAAAAAUGUUACAUAUGGUAUUUUGAGAGACUAUUUUUAAAUUUUUAAAAAAUUGCUCUUAACUUCUUUAGAAUGUGUCACGGAUUUGCAACAAUAGGAAGAUGCGGGUCCCCGAGUAACAACGGGUGAGAACCACUGAAAUAACGUAGUUGUCCUUCGCUCUAUUGCGGUUCCCUUUUAAGGCUUCACUUCAAAAUAUAUUACGGAUUAUGUGCUAUUAUUUUUUUCUGCACGGACUGUUACUGAAGCCUCAUUUAGCAAUAGGCGCAAGAUAGGAGGAAAUCAAAGAGGGCAUAAAAGACAGAGAAUGUCCACCAUUUGGGAUUAUUUUACACGUAAUAACAUUAGCUAAAGGGCAACGUGCCGAUGGCAAAGUACAAUACAAUACAAUACAUGCUGAUUUAUAUAGUAGAACUGGCUUUUGUUACACAACUCCACAUCUACAGUCAACAUUGCUAGCCAAUUUAGCAUAGCCUACCAUAGCUAGUUAGAAUGAAAUGCAGUCCCUCUGCAGGUGUUUAGGCUACAGGGAGGAAGAGACAAAGCCGCUUGUACAGUUUUGAUUGCUUUAUUGACCAAACAGUGACAAAAUACAGGAAACACAAGCUAAUUUCUUUGACGACCGGCCAAUGGCCUCAACAAACGCCAUCCCUCAACACGCAGAGUGACUGGUUUAGCUAUUUGACAGUCAACCAUCUCUACAUUCUCAGUUGCUGAUGUUUACAAUACUCAACAGGCCUGGCCUGGCUUUAAAAGGCACAGUGACUGGUUUAGCUAGCUAACAGUCAACCAUCUCUAAAUUCUCAGUUGCUGAUGUUUACAAUACUCAACAGGCCUGGCCCGCCUUUAAAAGGCACACAUGCAUUCAACAUCACAGAUACUAAAGUGUAGAUGACAAGGAUGGUGACACCAGGUGGACAAAAAUAAUAGCCUCGCAUGCAUAUAUUCUGGUAUUAUGCGCAAGAUUUAAUGUGCUUAAAAGUAAUAAAAUAAAUAUUUGGGUCGCUCUUUGCGGGGUUCAUGUAUUGUAGGAGCAAUCUGAAAUUACCGUACCUGCAGUUUCUAAUUCAAGAAUCAAGGGUUUGGGAAGAUGCUUUGUCAAAGUCUACAUUUACAUCUGAUUUUGCCAAAAGGUAAAAAAAGUACAAGCAUGAAUAAAACAUUUAGUAUGAUUAGUGGUGAGUGAAGUCCACUAUGUCUAAAUAUAUGAAAUGCUACGAUUCGUACUCUGCUUCUCUGUGUGGAGUGCACAAAAAUGUACAACUGAGUGUAUGGAAUUCCUUGUCCCGCAAUAAGCUUAAUAAAUGAAGCUAUCAUGUCAAAAAAAUAGAGUAGAAUGGGAGUCUUUUAUUCCAGUCAACACCACCCUCUAGUGUACGUAUGAGGUAAAUAAACUUUGUAAAAAAGCUGUUCUUGGUGCAAAAAAUAUUUCAAAACUGAGCAACCACCAAUAAUUCCUGAAGAAAGACCAGCGUUGGUCUUCCUUUAUGAAUGAGAUCCCCAUUAAUGAAACAAAAACGUCUCACUCCGGAACAAAAAGCAAACAAAGCAAAACAGGAACAAAAAAUAAACAGUGUGGUACUGAACAUCUUCAUUUGUUGAAUUUGCGGCAUUAGAAUGCCAUUUACCAAAAUAAAAAAAGCUAUUUCAAACAAAAACAUCAUGUUUUAGUUCACAAUUUAUUUGAUAUUCCCUUGACAGUCCCUUGGGAAGCUUUUACAAUUCCACAGUUAGAGUAUUGCACAGGAUUGCCGUCAAACAAUUGUUGUCCCUUUGUUGUGCGUACGUGCGUGCACAGCCAAACUUUCCCGGUGAGCGUAACUUCGACCACAAAUUGAACAACAAUAGGGUUUUUCCCCCGUGUGUAUUCUCAUGUGUCUAACCAUAUCGGACUUUUGAGUGAAAGCUUUAGCACAAACUGAACAACUAAAAGGCUUUUCGCCUGUGUGUAUUCGCAUGUGUUUAAUCA
Hippocampus zosterae (dwarf seahorse) is the source of this 2747-nucleotide long non-coding RNA. RefSeq lists it as uncharacterized. Lineage: Eukaryota; Metazoa; Chordata; Actinopteri; Syngnathiformes; Syngnathidae. The record is from RefSeq and is a predicted model, not a curated record. The transcript is spliced from 4 exons.